RNAcentral lists this ribosomal RNA (474 nucleotides) under uncultured bacterium. RNAcentral's name for it is "bacterial SSU rRNA". It matches the Rfam family "Bacterial small subunit ribosomal RNA", at positions 915 to 1391 of the family's 1533-position model. The record is from RNAcentral.
GGGGGCCCGCAAGCGGUGGAGCAUGUGGUUUAAUUCGAUGCAACGCGAAGAACCUUACCUACUCUUGACAUCCAGAGAACUUAGCAGAGAUGCUUUGGUGCCUUCGGGAACUCUGAGGCAGGUGCUGCAUGGCUGUCGUCAGCUCGUGUUGUGAAAUGUUGGGUUAAGUCCCGCAACGAGCGCAACCCUUAUCCUUUGUUGCCAUCGGUUCGGCCGGGAACUCAAAGGAGACUGCCAGUGAUAAACUGGAGGAAGGUGGGGAUGAUGUCAAGUCAUCAUGGCCCUUACGAGUAGGGCUACACACGUGCUACAAUGGCGUAUACAAAGAGAAGCGACCUCGCGAGAGCAAGCGGACCUCAUAAAGUACGUCGUAGUCCGGAUUGAAGUCUGCAACUCGACUCCAUGAAGUCGGAAUCGCUAGUAAUCGUAGAUCAGAAUGCUACGGUGAAUACGUUCCCGGGCCUUGUACACACC